This 82-nucleotide transfer RNA is filed under the name Candidatus Sericytochromatia bacterium. Its description in RNAcentral is "tRNA-Leu". It matches the Rfam family "tRNA". From Rfam's summary of the family: Transfer RNA (tRNA) molecules are approximately 80 nucleotides in length. Their secondary structure includes four short double-helical elements and three loops (D, anti-codon, and T loops). Lineage: Bacteria; Bacillati; Candidatus Sericytochromatia. The record is from RNAcentral. RNAcentral also lists the same sequence under 2 other names.
GCGGAAGUGGCGGAACGGCAGACGCGCACGCCUCAGGAGCGUGUACCCAAAAGGUGUGGGGGUUCAAAUCCCCCCUUCCGCA